AAAUUGAAGAGUUUGAUCAUGGCUCAGAUUGAACGCUGGCGGCAGGCUUAACACAUGCAAGUCGAACGGUAGCAGGAAGAAGCUUGCUUCUUUGCUGACGAGUGGCGGACGGGUGAGUAAUGCUUGGGAAUCUGGCUUAUGGAGGGGGAUAACUACGGGAAACUGUAGCUAAUACCGCGUAGUAUCGAGAGAUGAAAGACUGGGACCGCAAGGCCAGUUGCCAUGAGAUGAGCCCAAGUGGGAUUAGGUAGUUGGUGGGGUAAAGGCCUACCAAGCCGACGAUCUCUAGCUGGUCUGAGAGGAUGACCAGCCACACUGGAACUGAGACACGGUCCAGACUCCUACGGGAGGCAGCAGUGGGGAAUAUUGCACAAUGGGGGGAACCCUGAUGCAGCCAUGCCGCGUGAAUGAAGAAGGCCUUCGGGUUGUAAAGUUCUUUCGGUGAUGAGGAAGGGUGGUGUUUUAAUAGAGCACUACAUUGACGUUAGUCACAGAAGAAGCACCGGCUAACUCCGUGCCAGCAGCCGCGGUAAUACGGAGGGUGCGAGCGUUAAUCGGAAUGACUGGGCGUAAAGGGCACGCAGGCGGUGACUUAAGUGAGAUGUGAAAGCCCCGAGCUUAACUUGGGAAUUGCAUUUCAUACUGGGUUGCUAGAGUAUUUUAGGGAGGGGUAGAAUUCCACGUGUAGCGGUGAAAUGCGUAGAGAUGUGGAGGAAUACCGAAGGCGAAGGCAGCCCCUUGGGAAAAUACUGACGCUCAUGUGCGAAAGCGUGGGGAGCAAACAGGAUUAGAUACCCUGGUAGUCCACGCUGUAAACGCUGUCGAUUUGGGGAUUGGGCUUAGAGCUUGGUGCCCGUAGCUAACGUGAUAAAUCGACCGCCUGGGGAGUACGGCCGCAAGGUUAAAACUCAAAUGAAUUGACGGGGGCCCGCACAAGCGGUGGAGCAUGUGGUUUAAUUCGAUGCAACGCGAAGAACCUUACCUACUCUUGACAUCCUAAGAAGAACUCAGAGAUGAGUUUGUGCCUUCGGGAACUUAGAGACAGGUGCUGCAUGGCUGUCGUCAGCUCGUGUUGUGAAAUGUUGGGUUAAGUCCCGCAACGAGCGCAACCCUUAUCCUUUGUUGCCAGCGAUU
This 1134-nucleotide ribosomal RNA is filed under the name Glaesserella parasuis. Its description in RNAcentral is "bacterial SSU rRNA". It matches the Rfam family "Bacterial small subunit ribosomal RNA", at positions 1 to 1126 of the family's 1533-position model. Lineage: Bacteria; Pseudomonadati; Pseudomonadota; Gammaproteobacteria; Pasteurellales; Pasteurellaceae. The record is from RNAcentral.